UACGGGGGGAGCAAGCGUUGUUCGGAUUUACUGGGCGUAAAGGGCGCGUAGGCGGUCAGCACAAGUCAGUUGUGAAAUCUCCGGGCUUAACUCGGAAAGGUCAACUGAUACUGUGCGACUAGAGUGCGGAAGGGGCAACUGGAAUUCUCGGUGUAGCGGUGAAAUGCGUAGAUAUCGAGAGGAACACCUGCGGCGAAGGCGGGUUGCUGGGCCGACACUGACGCUGAUGCGCGAAAGCAGGGGAGCGAACGGG
This 253-nucleotide ribosomal RNA is filed under the name uncultured bacterium. RNAcentral's name for it is "partial 16S ribosomal RNA". It matches the Rfam family "Bacterial small subunit ribosomal RNA", at positions 524 to 776 of the family's 1533-position model. The record is from RNAcentral.